Molecule: long non-coding RNA, 1158 nt
Organism: Spinacia oleracea (spinach)
Lineage: Eukaryota; Viridiplantae; Streptophyta; Magnoliopsida; Caryophyllales; Amaranthaceae
Exons: 3
Source: RefSeq, a predicted model, not a curated record
AAUGACAAAAUAAGUGUAAAAUUGAAAAAAAACCAAAACGAAAAAUCAUUUAUUUCAACUUGGUAGCAUCGACAGUUAGGGUUUUUGCUAUUCUUCAUCUUUCUCUCACUCUCACCUCCUCGCCGCCUCUGUGGCUUUGUUGCUUCCUGCGAAUCUCAUCUUGCAACCACUCAACAAUGGCAGAACAGGUGAGGUCGAUCAUCAGACAUGGCGGAAGCCGCACAAAAGCUAGAACAGCUAGAACAAGCUAUGGGGAAUGUUAGAGAACAUGGUCUUUCUCAAUUGGCUUCUGAGACGGUUCAUUAUAAUCCUUCAGAUCUGUCUACUUGACUUGAAUCUAUGCUUUUCGAGUUUAAUCCUUCGCAACUACCUUUAACACGGCAAAUCUGGUACUACUACCUUCUAUUGGAUCGGGUGUAGAUCCUAUUAUUGUGAACCCAUCUACCCAGUGUUCUUUUCUACUACCAGGUCCUAAUUCCGGCCCUCUCCCCCUUUUGGGUCACUAUAUUUUGCAGUCGGAUGAUACUAAUUUGGGUUCUUGUUUUUUCCGGGUUCUGUCUAGCUAGGUUCAGGUUUCCUAGUAAAAAAAACUAGUUGCCUUGAGGAUGGCAGCGGUGAUUUACAAGAAACUGAGUGGAAUAUUUUCUGAAUUACAUGAGUGGAAACUUGAGUCUCCUCUAGCCCAACUUCUUGACAAAGUUGAGAAAUACUUCAACACGAUUAAAGGAGAAGUAGAAGCCUUAGAACAAACCAAAGACGAUGAGAUAGAGUUGAGUAUAUUCCUUUCCUCCUUCAUUGGUUAUAUCUGAUGGAUUUACUGGCUUAUCUCUGUUUUAACAUCAUACAUGUUAGAAAUUACACACACAAGGGGCAACUUUAUGGUGCAAGCACACACAGAAAUGUCACAUCCUCUGGAGGAGAGAGAAAACCAAAGGGACACGAUGAGAGAUUAGUUUAUGUUGAGUAGAGAAUUAGUGAAAUUUAGUGGCUUAUUUAAUUGAGGACAAGAACAUAUUGAGUAUCAUUCAAACUCAGAUAGUCAUAUACUUAUGUAUUUUUGAGAUGGAUAUAUUGUUGGGGAAUACAGUUAAACAUAAUAACAUGUGCGGAAACAAUCCCCAAAGCCAGGAAUCAUAUAUAAAGCACAUAUUAAGCAUA